UCCUGGUUAACCCAGGCAGUCUCACUAGAGUCCCCACCUUAAAUGUUGGCAACUAAUGAUAAGGGUUGCGCUCGUUGCUGGACUUAACCAAACACCUCACGGCACGAGCUGACGACAGCCAUGCAGCACCUAUAUAAGUGUCCUUGCGGAAAAUACCAUCUCUGAUAUCGUCACCUACAUUUCGAGCCUGGGUAAGGUUCUUCGCGUUGCAUCGAAUUAAACCACAUGCUCCACUGCUUGUGCGGGCCCCCGUCAAUUCUUUUGAGUUUCACCCUUGCGAGCGUACUCCUCAGGCGGUAUACUUAUCGCGUUAGCUUCGACACAAUCAGGGUUGAGCCCAAUUACAUCAAGUAUACAUCGUUUACGGCAAGGACUAC
Molecule: unclassified non-coding RNA, 377 nt
Filed under: uncultured Simkaniaceae bacterium
Lineage: Bacteria; Pseudomonadati; Chlamydiota; Chlamydiia; Parachlamydiales; Simkaniaceae
Description: contains 16S-23S intergenic spacer region
Source: RNAcentral